CCCCCCGGGGCCAGUGCUUUUCUCGGAUGCCAAGGGAGCCAGCGGAUGGUCCCACGGCCCUCUGGACCAGCAGAAGCAAUCUAGCUCCAUACUGCCAUCCAAUGGUGGCUUCUGAAGACCGUGUACAAAACAUCCUCCUUUCACGCCGAAUAGCUCAUUCAGAACAAAAUCCUAGAGCGAUGGUCCGAUACCA
Molecule: long non-coding RNA, 193 nt
Organism: Spea bombifrons (plains spadefoot toad)
Lineage: Eukaryota; Metazoa; Chordata; Amphibia; Anura; Pelobatidae
Exons: 3
Source: RefSeq, a predicted model, not a curated record